CACUGACAUUAGAUACCCCCGGUAGUCCAGGGUGUAAACGCUGCAGACUUGGUGUUGGAGGCCCUUUGGGGGCAUUCAGUGCCGGAGAGAAGUUGUUAAGUCUGCUACUUGGGGAGUACGUCCGCAAGGAUGAAACUUAAAGGAAUUGGCGGGGGAGCACCGCAACGGGAGGAGCGUGCGGUUUAAUUGGAUUCAACACCGUAAACUCACCAGGGAAGACUGUUACAUGAAGGCCGAGAUGAAGACUCUGCUAGAUUUUCAG
RNAcentral lists this ribosomal RNA (262 nucleotides) under uncultured archaeon. Its description in RNAcentral is "partial 16S ribosomal RNA". It matches the Rfam family "Archaeal small subunit ribosomal RNA", at positions 720 to 982 of the family's 1478-position model. The record is from RNAcentral.